CUGUCUCAAAAACAAAAAACAAGAGACAGCGCCGGGGCAAGUGAGAGCCGGACGGGCACUGGGCGACUCUGUGCCUCGCUGAGGAAAAUAACUAAACAUGGGCAAAGGAGAUCCUAAGAAGCCGAGAGGCAAAAUGUCAUCAUAUGCAUUUUUUGUGCAAACUUGUCGGGAGGAGCAUAAGAAGAAGCACCCAGAUGCUUCAGUCAACUUCUCAGAGUUUUCUAAGAAGUGCUCAGAGAGGUGGAAGACCAUGUCUGCUAAAGAGAAAGGAAAAUUUGAAGAUAUGGCAAAGGCGGACAAGGCCCGUUAUGAAAGAGAAAUGAAAACCUAUAUCCCUCCCAAAGGGGAGACAAAAAAGAAGUUCAAGGAUCCCAAUGCACCCAAGAGGCCUCCUUCGGCCUUCUUCCUGUUCUGCUCUGAGUAUCGCCCAAAAAUCAAAGGAGAACAUCCUGGCCUGUCCAUUGGUGAUGUUGCGAAGAAACUGGGAGAGAUGUGGAAUAACACUGCUGCAGAUGACAAGCAGCCUUAUGAAAAGAAGGCUGCGAAGCUGAAGGAAAAAUACGAAAAGGAUAUUGCUGCAUAUCGAGCUAAAGGAAAGCCUGAUGCAGCAAAUAAGGGAGUUGUCAAGGCUGAAAAAAGCAAGAAAAAGAAGGAAGAGGAGGAAGAUGAGGAAGAUGAAGAGGAUGAGGAGGAGGAGGAAGAUGAAGAAGAUGAAGAUGAAGAAGAAGAUGAUGAUGAUGAAUAAGUUGGUUCUAGCGCAGUUUUUUUUUCUUGUCUAUAAAGCAUUUAACCCCCCUGUACACAACUCACUCCUUUUAAAGAAAAAAAUUGAAAUGUAAGGCUGUGUAAGAUUUGUUUUUAAACUGUACAGUGUCUUUUUUUGUAUAGUUAACACACUACCGAAUGUGUCUUUAGAUAGCCUUGUCCUGGUGGUAUUUUCAAUAGCCACUAACCUUGCCUGGUACAGUAUGGGGGUUGUAAAUUGGCAUGGAAAUUUAAAGCAGGUUCUUGUUGGUGCACAGCACAAAUUAGUUAUAUAUGGGGAUGGUAGUUUUUUCAUCUUCAGUUGUCUCUGAUGCAGCUUAUACGAAAUAAUUGUUGUUCUGUUAACUGAAUACCACUCUGUAAUUGCAAAAAAAAAAAAAAAAA
RNA transcript from Piliocolobus tephrosceles (Ugandan red Colobus), 1149 nucleotides. It is a transcript of the gene named high mobility group protein B1 pseudogene, with no coding region annotated. Lineage: Eukaryota; Metazoa; Chordata; Mammalia; Primates; Cercopithecidae. The record is from RefSeq and is a predicted model, not a curated record. The transcript has a single exon.